CGAGGUGAUAGAGGAACAUCAACUAUUGGCUCAUGAAUUACAGGUUCCUGAGGAUCUAAAGCUCUGGACUCUUCAAAGACCUUCUCUUCGAGCUCCACUAACCUCCCACUGUUGCCAUCCUGGAUAAAUUAUUUUUCUAAGAAUACAGUAUUUCGACUCACAAUCACAUUGUGAUCUUAUGAAAAGUAAAAGUAGUAUCCCAUGGAU
Molecule: long non-coding RNA, 207 nt
Filed under: Elaeis guineensis (African oil palm)
Lineage: Eukaryota; Viridiplantae; Streptophyta; Magnoliopsida; Arecales; Arecaceae
Description: long non-coding RNA (EGUI_LNC053962)
Source: RNAcentral